Molecule: long non-coding RNA, 626 nt
Filed under: Olea europaea subsp. europaea
Lineage: Eukaryota; Viridiplantae; Streptophyta; Magnoliopsida; Lamiales; Oleaceae
Source: RNAcentral
CGCACGCUAACUUAUUUCGCCAAUUCUGUAUCCACGACUGGUUGAUUCCAUCAACCUUAUGUGCUAUACUCAAAAAUUCUAUGUACUUGAUUGCGAAAAUGUCAUAGUCGCCCCUGCAAAUGAACAAUAUUGUGUUAGUUUGGUUCCAAUUUAAUUUAAAAAAAAAAAGAUUACAAACACUUACGAUAUAGACUGCCUAGCCGUCGUCUUAUCCCGCAUGAUGGCUAGUUUGUCCUGCACAGUCAAGCUCGCCCGUCUAGCCAUCAUAGGAACGAUCACAGUCACGGGCUCUAAGUUCUGCUCGAGCUGCCCCUGUGUUAGACAUGAAUGAUCGGGGUCAUAUACAUAUAUCGUCGACUCAGGGAACACGAUCUCCAAUCCAAUGCAAUGAUGAUUGACGAUCACUGGAAUGUACAUAUGCGUACAACCCUCCUACGACUUUCCCCCAACAGUCGGUGACAACCCGAUGACCCGCUCGAGCAUAUAUGCGGGCAGCACGUACUCGUUACCCAUAAGCUAGAGCAACUGAUACUCAAUGGUAACGACACGGAAGAACUCGGUGUUCAGUAUUAUUAGGCCAGGCUUGUAGAAUGAUUGUGAAUAUCUCUCAACUCGAUCGCGCAACA